This 300-nucleotide unclassified non-coding RNA is filed under the name uncultured Ramicandelaber. Its description in RNAcentral is "sequence contains 5.8S rRNA gene, ITS2". The stretch from base 1 to 72 matches the Rfam family "5.8S ribosomal RNA", at positions 84 to 154 of the family's 154-position model. Lineage: Eukaryota; Fungi; Kickxellomycota; Kickxellomycetes; Kickxellales; Kickxellaceae. The record is from RNAcentral.
GUGAGUCAUCGAAUCUUUGAACGCAUCUUGCACUAUUCGGCUUCCCCGGAUAGUAUGCCUGGUUGAGUGUCUGUGUAUCUCUCCUAUAUCAAUCUUUUUUGGUUGAUCAAUAGGGACUUGGGGUCUUCUCGUCGGAACUAAUUAGUCCCGGUGAACCCUUUAAAUGUAGCAAGCUCCCAUCUUUCAUCGGAAAUACGCAAACUUGGGGAUGGCGUCGUAGCAAUCACUCUUAUCAGUAUUGUCGAAGCGCCUAUAUCAUACCUCUAAUCUGCGGUGCUAAUCCUUUAUCAAUGGGCGAAG